RNAcentral lists this long non-coding RNA (1538 nucleotides) under Crocodylus porosus (Australian saltwater crocodile). RNAcentral describes it as "lncRNA (ENSCPRG00005010582.1)". The record is from RNAcentral. Lineage: Eukaryota; Metazoa; Chordata; Crocodylia; Crocodylidae.
GCAGGCAUCCCCGGUUGGCACGAGCUGGCUCCUGGGCCUGGAUAAACACGAUGUCCCCGUAGUGGUGGGAGCCUCGGCAUCCCUGGCUCUGAUUCUCCUUUCCAUGGGCAUCUACUUCUUGUGGCAGAAAACGGAGCACACCAAGGGCAGCAGCACUGGUGAGCCCUCGGCCCGAGGCAUAGCUGGAGCCGCAGGGGAGGGUGGAGGGGCUGCUCUUGCUGGGACUGGGAAUAGAGGGGAGCAGGCCCUAGGCUUGUAGCCUGUUUGCUCUGACCCAGCCCAAUGGCAGGUCCAUGUGGGUGACCGCAUGCCCAGGAGGGCCUGCCCCGUGGGGUGGGAGCAGCUGACCUUGGGUAUGUGGCCACCCACAUGGGGCCUCUGAGCAGCAGGGGGUCGAGGUCCCCAUCGCCUUUGCAGGACAGCCGAGCUGUCCUCACCACCUGCCCCUGGAGAAACAAGUCUGCCUCUGUUCUGUAGCUUCUCCCAAACCCUCCAGCGGCAGGAGCUGGAGGAGGAACUACCUGGAGGUGGACAGAGCCUAUGAGAACAGGGCCUUUGAAGCGGAGUGUGCCAUCGACACCCUGAGCCUGGAUGAGACCCCUGCCCCCCGCAGCCUGGAAGGCCCUGGCCCCACAGCUCCCACGGGGGAAACGCAGGACCGGCCAGAGGACUCCCAAGCGUUGGUGCAGAGCGAGACCAGUCCUCAGGGACACUGCCCCAGCCCCGGCGGAGCCACAUCCGCUGCUGCAGCUGAGGAACCCCGUGGAAGGAGACCAGAUGUGGGCACAGCAGCUUCGCCAGCUCCCCCACACAUCUGCACCACUCUGCACCUCUACCGGCCUGAGACGUCCGAGUGCCUCCCUCCCAGGGAGCAGGCCGGUGCUGUGCUGGCCGUUACCAUCAAUAUCCGCCUCUGCCCAGCAGAGGUGUGCUCGGCUGCGGGCGCCGCAUCAAAUGCCUCUGAGCCACCCCUGCCAGAGGCAGCAUCACAGCCGCCUGCUGCAUCACUGGACCCCAGUAUGUGAGCACUUCUGCCACAAGUGCACGCCAGUGGGGGCAGCAGUGAGUCCUUGCCAUGCAGCUUCCGAGAUGCUGGUGCUGAGCCUUGCACCCCCAGCGGCUCGCACGUUGCCUGCCCAUAUGGCCUCCAUGAUGCAAUGCUGUCUCUCUCGCAGGGUCCAGGAGUUAUCUGAGACCAGAGCAACACAGGCCUGCUUCAGAUGGGUAGAGAACAAAACUGCAUAGCUGGGAGCAGCUGCCGGCCUGGAGGGUCCACAGACUGCAGUGGGUCAAAACUUCCUUGCCACUGGCCGUGGCCUGUUCUCCUUCCUGCUGCUCCUUCACCCUGCCUAGCUGCUGAGAUGCUCCCUCCUGGCAUCUCCCUGCUGUCUCGUCCACCACGCCCCAGCACAGCUCGCCAAGGCACGGGCAGCAAGGAAGCAGUGGCAGUGCCUGGUCUGAUGCUGGGAGACGCCCUGGUGUGGAGGCAUCACAGACUGCGAUGGGUGCUGGGAUGUUCUUGGCUCAGAGAAUAAAUG